This 670-nucleotide ribosomal RNA is filed under the name uncultured Chryseobacterium sp. RNAcentral describes it as "bacterial SSU rRNA". It matches the Rfam family "Bacterial small subunit ribosomal RNA", at positions 498 to 1173 of the family's 1533-position model. Lineage: Bacteria; Pseudomonadati; Bacteroidota; Flavobacteriia; Flavobacteriales; Weeksellaceae. The record is from RNAcentral.
GAAUUCGAUUGUGCCAGCCGCCGCGGUAAUUCGGAGGGUGCAAGCGUUAUCCGGAUUUAUUGGGUUUAAAGGGUCCGUAGGCGGAUGCGUAAGUCAGUGGUGAAAUCUCACAGCUCAACUGUGAAACUGCCAUUGAUACUGCGUGUCUUGAGUGAGGUUGAAGUAGCUGGAAUAAGUAGUGUAGCGGUGAAAUGCAUAGAUAUUACUUAGAACACCAAUUGCGAAGGCAGGUUACUAAGUCUCAACUGACGCUGAUGGACGAAAGCGUGGGGAGCGAACAGGAUUAGAUACCCUGGUAGUCCACGCUGUAAACGAUGCUAACUCGUUUUUGGGGAUUUAUCUUCAGAGACUAAGCGAAAGUGAUAAGUUAGCCACCUGGGGAGUACGAACGCAAGUUUGAAACUCAAAGGAAUUGACGGGGGCCCGCACAAGCGGUGGAUUAUGUGGUUUAAUUCGAUGAUACGCGAGGAACCUUACCAAGGCUUAAAUGGGAAUUGAUCGGUUUAGAAAUAGACCUUCCUUCGGGCAAUUUUCAAGGUGCUGCAUGGUUGUCGUCAGCUCGUGCCGUGAGGUGUUAGGUUAAGUCCUGCAACGAGCGCAACCCCUGUCACUAGUUGCCAUCAUUCAGUUGGGGACUCUAGUGAGACUGCCCUACGCCAAGUAGAGAAGG